GUGGGGAAUAUUGGACAAUGGGCGCAAGCCUGAUCCAGCAAUGCCGCGUGGGUGAAGAAGGUCUUCGGAUCGUAAAGCCCUUUCGACAGGGACGAUGAUGACGGUACCUGUAGAAGAAGUCCCGGCUAACUUCGUGCCAGCAGCCGCGGUAAUACGAAGGGGGCUAGCGUUACUCGGAAUUACUGGGCGUAAAGGGCGCGUAGGCGGCUCUGUUAGUCAGGCGUGAAAUUCCUGGGCUUAACCUGGGGACUGCGCUUGAUACUGCAGGGCUUGAGGCCGAGAGAGGGUGGUGGAAUUCCCAGUGUAGAGGUGAAAUUCGUAGAUAUUGGGAAGAACACCGGUGGCGAAGGCGACCACCUGGCUCGGUUCUGACGCUGAGGCGCGACAGCGUGGGGAGCAAACAGGAUUAGAUACCCGUGUAGUCC
RNAcentral lists this ribosomal RNA (425 nucleotides) under uncultured bacterium. RNAcentral's name for it is "partial 16S ribosomal RNA". It matches the Rfam family "Bacterial small subunit ribosomal RNA", at positions 354 to 796 of the family's 1533-position model. The record is from RNAcentral.